GGCGCAGUGGCAGAGUGGUCUAAUGCGAUAGACUAGAAUAUGGUAUCAUACAAUACUUCUAGAUCAUCUAUUCUCUUCGGAGGCAGCGGUUCAAAUCCGCUCUGCGUCG
Molecule: transfer RNA, 109 nt
Organism: Pseudomassariella vexata
Lineage: Eukaryota; Fungi; Ascomycota; Sordariomycetes; Amphisphaeriales; Pseudomassariaceae
Rfam family: tRNA
About the family: Transfer RNA (tRNA) molecules are approximately 80 nucleotides in length. Their secondary structure includes four short double-helical elements and three loops (D, anti-codon, and T loops).
Source: Rfam